GAUAAAAGUAAAAGCUAUGCUUUUACUAGAUAAAUAAUUGAGGAAUAAGAUAUACAAGAAUGUUGGAGAUACAUCUAGCACAUGUUUACACAUGUGAGAGUGACAACACACCUCUAUUCUACACCAUUAUCCUACACUAGUCAACAAGUUUGGAAGCUAGCUAUUUUGGUGAUGGAGCCAAAGGAUCUCUAGAGGAGCAUCUUCUUUCUCCCUCACUCUCUUUUUCGAUUAGGGAGCAGCCACAAGACUCCAAAGUUCCGCCAUGUACCUGCAAAUUAGUACAAAAAUGGGGUUAGAAGAUGACUCACAAAUAACAAGGAAGGGAGGCACAAGCUCAAAUAGGAAAGUGGAGUAGUAGACGAAAAUAGUGCAGCUAGGAGGCUUCCAUUUAGAGCAUGAAGUCAGCCUAUUUUUGUCACAUUCUCAACUACCAUCAAAGAAGAACCAAGACAAGAGAGCAUAGUAGAAUGAGCCUCUACACAAGCCCAAUAUAGACAUGAGCAAGAUUCUUGUUUUCCCAUCGAUCAAGGCUGAGGAAACAGCCAAGAGAGAGACAACCAUACAUACACCAAAAUAGUAAGGAUAGCAUGAACAUCAAGCUCAAAAGUAGUGGAGCUGGCAGCCCCAAAAUAGGAGUCUUUGCCUCCAAGUCUCAAGCACAAACAGCCAAGAGUAGAGCACUAUAUAAACACCCUCAUCUCUCUUCUCCUCCCCACAAAAUCGACACCCCAAACUCACAUAAAGUCAAGGAAUAUAGCAAGGAAGGGAGGAGGAGCAAGGAGGAAUUUUGAGGCUGGACAUCAGUCCCAUCCGAGAGGAUUCAUCAAAGUGAGGGAUAAAUUGCUCAAGGGCGAGUGAGGCCAAAGCAAGUAUUUGAGUUGAGACAUAAGCAUAUCAGGGGCUAGAUGCCUGCGAGUUUUGGCGAUGCCAGCCCGAGUUUAACGAAUUCGGUUCCCAAUAGGACCGCAAAUCCUGUUCGGAAUAACGUGCACGAGAGCCAUGAGCCAUCAACAGUUGGCCGGCGAUGUGUCCGCUGAAGGCGGCCACCUUCACGGUACACAAUUCACAGAUAUGGUAGAAAUUUUGAAAGAACUUAGUCUGAUCAGACGAACUUUUAGCUCACAAAAGAAUUUAGUAUGCUCGGGCCUUUUAAGAAAAACCCUCGUGCGAUACUGUGGAUGGAUGACAAAUAUAUAUUGUAUGUUUUGUUUUCGGCAUGUGUCCAC
Salvia hispanica is the source of this 1226-nucleotide long non-coding RNA. RefSeq lists it as uncharacterized. Lineage: Eukaryota; Viridiplantae; Streptophyta; Magnoliopsida; Lamiales; Lamiaceae. The record is from RefSeq and is a predicted model, not a curated record.